GGAGUCGGCCAGGCAGUCGCUGCCCGCCGUUGGCGGGUGGAGGAAAGUCCGGGCUCCGCAGGACAGGACGCCAGGUAACCCCUGGGCGGCGCGAGCCGACGGAAAGUGCCACAGAAAAUAUACCGCCCAAGCAGCCGCAGGCUGCCGGUAAGGGUGAAAUGGUGCGGUAAGAGCGCACCGCGCCGCUGGUAACAGCGGUGGCAGGGUAAACCCCGUCCGGAGCAAGACCGAAUAGGGAGGCCGGCGGCGUCAAGGCCGCGACGUGUGGUCCGCACGUGUCUCCGGGUAGGUCGCUUCAGGGGCGCGGCGACGCGCCUCGCAGAUGAAUGGCUGCCCCCGACAGAACCCGGCUUAUCGGCCGGCUCCCCAC
RNAcentral lists this RNase P RNA (370 nucleotides) under Chromatiales bacterium. RNAcentral describes it as "RNase P RNA component class A". It matches the Rfam family "Bacterial RNase P class A". Rfam says of the family: Ribonuclease P (RNase P) is a ubiquitous endoribonuclease, found in archaea, bacteria and eukarya as well as chloroplasts and mitochondria. Its best characterised activity is the generation of mature 5'-ends of tRNAs by cleaving the 5'-leader elements of precursor-tRNAs. Cellular RNase Ps are ribonucleoproteins. The record is from RNAcentral. Lineage: Bacteria; Pseudomonadati; Pseudomonadota; Gammaproteobacteria; Chromatiales.